This 1335-nucleotide ribosomal RNA is filed under the name Triticum aestivum (bread wheat). RNAcentral describes it as "partial small subunit ribosomal RNA". Lineage: Eukaryota; Viridiplantae; Streptophyta; Magnoliopsida; Poales; Poaceae. The record is from RNAcentral.
AUGGAGCCAAACAGGACAACGAUGCGUUUCGUCGUACUCCUGGUAGUCGGCACGCUGAUCGUCUCAGGCGCCGCCGAGUAUGUCCGGCCUCCGCCGGGCCGUGCCAUCUUGACGGAGCACGAUAAACCCGCCUCCCACCCUCAACAGGUCCACCUAUCGGUUGUCGGGGCGAACCAUAUGAGAGUUUCAUGGAUCACGGACGCCAAGCACGGGCACUCGGUGGUGGAGUACGGCAGGGCCUCCGGGAACUACACCACGUCGGCUACCGGCGAGCACACCUCGUACCGCUACUACCUCUACUCCUCCGGCAAGAUCCACCACGUCACGAUCGGACCUCUGGAUCCUGACACCGUGUACUACUACCGGUGCGGCACGGUCGGCGACGAGUUCACCCUCAAGACACCGCCCGCCGCUCUCCCCAUCGAGCUCGCGCUCGCAGGGGACCUUGGGCAGACCGAAUGGACGGCGUCGACGCUGGCCCACGUCAGCAAGAACGACUACGACAUGCUGCUGGUGCCAGGCGACCUCGCCUACGCCGACACCCAGCAGCCGCUGUGGGACACGUUCGGGCGGUUCGUGCAGGAGCACGCGAGCCGGCGGCCGUGGAUGGUCACCGAGGGGAACCACGAGGUGGAGGCCGGGAUGGCGCUCCCGGGCUCGCCCGGCCCGUUCGUCGCCUACACCGCGCGGUGGCGCAUGCCACACGAGGAGAGCGGGUCGACGUCCGCGCUCUACUACUCCUUCGACGCGGCCGGGGGCGCCGUCCACGUCGUCAUGCUCGGCUCGUACGCCGCCUUCAACUCGACCUCGGAGCAGUACGGGUGGCUGGCGCGCGACCUCGCCCGGGUCGACCGGCGCGCCACCCCGUGGCUCGUCGUGCUGCUGCACGCCCCGUGGUACAACACCAACGCGGCGCACGCCGGCGAGGGGGAGGCCAUGAGGAAGGCCAUGGAGCGCCUGCUCUACGAGGCCCGCGUCGACGUCGUCUUCUCCGGCCACGUCCACGCCUACGAACGCUUCACAAGGGUCUAUGACAACGAGGCGAACCCGUGUGGGCCGGUGCACAUCACAAUCGGCGACGGCGGGAACAGAGAAGGGCUUGCAUUCGAUUUUCAGAAGAAUCAUAAGCUGGCUCGGCUCUCGUUGAUGAGGGAGGCGAGCUUCGGGCAUGGCCGGUUGAGCGUGGUGAACGCGACCGCGGCGCGCUGGGCAUGGCACCGCAACGACGACGCCGACUCCACCGUCCGCGACGAGCUCUGGCUGGAGAGCCUGGCCGCCAACGGCUCGUGCCGACGGACCCAACCCUUCGCUGAUUAUUGGAGCGAUGAGUUGUAG